GGGAGCACCGGAUCCUGGGCUGUGUCCCCCGGCGCCCUGUGCUCUGGGGCCUGCGCUGCUGGAAUCACGCUCUUGGGGAGUGCAGCUCCC
This 90-nucleotide microRNA precursor is filed under the name Canis lupus familiaris (dog). RNAcentral describes it as "mir-8799 microRNA precursor family". It matches the Rfam family "mir-8799 microRNA precursor family". Lineage: Eukaryota; Metazoa; Chordata; Mammalia; Carnivora; Canidae. RNAcentral also lists the same sequence under 1 other name. The record is from Rfam by way of RNAcentral.